CCUACGGGCGGCAGCAGUGGGGAAUAUUGGACAAUGGGGGGAACCCUGAUCCAGCCAUGCCGCGUGUGUGAAGAAGGCCCUCGGGUUGUAAAGCACUUUCAGUGAGGAAGAACGCCUGGUGGUUAAUACCCAUCAGGAAAGACAUCACUCACAGAAGAAGCACCGGCUAACUCCGUGCCAGCAGCCGCGGUAAUACGGAGGGUGCGAGCGUUAAGCGGAAUUACUGGGCGUAAAGCGCGCGUAGGUGGCUUGAUAAGCCGGUUGUGAAAGCCCCGGGCUCAACCUGGGAACGGCAUCCGGAACUGUCAAGCUAGAGUGCAGGAGAGGAAGGUAGAAUUCCCGGUGUAGCGGUGAAAUGCGUAGAGAUCGGGAGGAAUACCAGUGGCGAAGGCGGCCUUCUGGACUGACACUGACACUGAGGUGCGAAAGCGUGGGUAGCAAACAGGAUUAGAUACCCUGGUAGUC
This 465-nucleotide ribosomal RNA is filed under the name Vreelandella stevensii. Its description in RNAcentral is "partial 16S ribosomal RNA". It matches the Rfam family "Bacterial small subunit ribosomal RNA", at positions 338 to 795 of the family's 1533-position model. Lineage: Bacteria; Pseudomonadati; Pseudomonadota; Gammaproteobacteria; Oceanospirillales; Halomonadaceae. The record is from RNAcentral.